This 1438-nucleotide long non-coding RNA is filed under the name Bos indicus x Bos taurus (hybrid cattle). RNAcentral describes it as "lncRNA (ENSBIXG00005025742.1)". The record is from RNAcentral. Lineage: Eukaryota; Metazoa; Chordata; Mammalia; Artiodactyla; Bovidae.
GGUGGGAGCUGGCCUGGAGGAGAAGCAGAAAAACCAGUUGUGAUCUGGUUGAAUGGGUGACUGGGUGACUCUGAAGAGAGUGGAUAUACUUACUCUGAUGAUCCCUUCUACAGGUCUUAUUGAUGAAUAGCUCCACAGGUGGGGGUAGGGGGAUUUAGUGGGAGCAAAGAGAUUAUUCCUGGGUUUCUGGAUUAAGCAGCUGGGUGGUGCCUUUUAACAAAAAACAAAACAGGGGAGGAUGGGUGGGAAGAGUGACAAGUUUAGUUCUAAAUCCGUCAAGUUGAAGAACCUGUGAGAGAUCCUGGGAACGCUGUCCGGUAGGGAGCUAGAUAGCAGAGUCUGGAGGUCAAGAAGCAGGGUGGGGCCCACAGGCUCCCCCGAAAGUGGGUGGCCAGUGCAGCCUGGGAGGGCUGGGCUUGCUGGGCUGGGUUUGAAUGGACAGCAGGGCCCAAGCCUCGGGGAAAUCAGGGGAUUGUAGAGGAGGUAAAGGCAACAAGAAAAUUUCAAAGUAGAGAUUAGAAAGCAACCAAGAAAAGUGAGAAAGGAUGGUGACUUCUAAGUCUAGGGAGGAAUAAAACACAGUGUUAGAUGUUGUUGAAUGGCUAAUCAAAAUAAAGACUUGAUUAUUUCCUUCAGCAUAAUUCCUGGGCAGGGCACGUGGGGAUACUUCCAGUGAGAUGGGCCAUGAGUUGCUGGCUGUGGAAGCUGGGUGUUGAGCACAUGAGGUUCACUGCACUGUUCUAUUUAUGUAGAUGUAUGAAACUUCCCAUAACAAAAUUUUUUAAAUUAUUUUUCCAUAAUAAAAAUGUAGCCUUUGGAUUUAUUAUCACAGAGACCAGUGACCUCUGCAUGAAUUAGUUUCAUGAAGGCAGAAGCCAGACUGAAUGGAUUAAGCAGUGGAGGCAAGAAAGAGACAGGGUGUAAACAGAGAAGAGCAUGGGUUUGGAGGAGGAUUUUUUUUUCUUUUUCAGAGUGGAGAGACUGGAGCUUGGUUAUAUCCUGAUAUGGCUGAGCUGGGGGCAGGGAAAUGUUGAAAAAGGAAGGAGCCUAAGAAGCCUGGUUCUGAGCUCACAAAAGAAGAAUGUCCAGCUUCGUCAGGUUGUUGGAGGUUGGCCAAGGGUGCCAAAGGAAGAAAAAUUGAACAUGAGAGUUCAGCUUAUAAUGCUGCUGGUGAAACAGUUCUCGGAGUUAUGACUUAACACGCUGUGCUCUUGAAAAAUCACCCUCAAAUACAAACACAAAUAUCCCAUUCUGAAUGCAAAAGGUAAGUUCCACAACGGAUUGCUAUAAAGAAAACAUUCACUUAAAAUCCUCGUUUCAAUUCACUUUCAAUAGAAAAUUAGAAAUGAGUCUUGGCAACAAUGACAACAACAAAAAAUUGAUCCCUGAAUGAACACAAGCAUACUUAAUGAUUUCAACAAACUUUUUGAAAACCGCA